Oryzias melastigma (Indian medaka) is the source of this 846-nucleotide long non-coding RNA. RefSeq lists it as uncharacterized. The record is from RefSeq and is a predicted model, not a curated record. Lineage: Eukaryota; Metazoa; Chordata; Actinopteri; Beloniformes; Adrianichthyidae. The transcript has 2 exons.
CUGGGCCCUUAGAUGUGGGUGAAAACUGACUCGCUGACUCCUCCGAAUUGGGAGAGUGGCACAUGCUCCCUGAGUUUGUUCGAGGAAUCCCCGACUGUCCACCUCCUGUUGCUGAAGCUGUCAUGUCUCCUCCACCAGAGAUCGGUGACUCCCACUCUACUUGGCUUGGAGUAGUAGGGGAAAGGGGCCGUCUCUGGGCCUCCUCCGCCUGCCACCCCUGUUCCUGAUGUGACCGUUUCUUCCCCGCUGACCUCCGCAGCCAUCAUGGUAGAAAGUGAGUAGAGGGGGGAAAAGUACAGAAGGGAACCCGCCCUCCCCCUCUGUCCUCAGACGAAUUAUUCAGCGUCUGAACUCAGUGGAAACAACCCCAAAAAGUUUCUCCAAACCGCGCCGGGCUAGCCAGCUAGCGUUAGCCCACAGCUAACUUAGCUGCAGCGGGCGUUAGCUUCACCACGCAUUACCCAAUAAGACAGUCAAGCUAACGCUAGCGGGAUGGCUGGCAGCCUCAAGACACUUCAUGAGUUUGUGGUCGCUGUCUCCAUUGUUUCCCAAGUUUAAAGUUCACGCAGAAAUGCUACAGAGAGACUUAAAUCCACGGUAUGUUCUAAAAACACAGUCUCACCGGUUUUCAAUUUGAACCUCACCCUCGGCACCAGGCGGACCACUUGUCGAAAAAAUGUUUUAUUGUCACUGUUGUGUGUAAUACCCGUUCUUUCCCCAGUGUUGUUUUCUUUCCUUUUGAGUUCGGAGCCGUCUACAAUCCAGUCCAUAAACGACUCCUUGUCGUCUAGGUCCCCAGGAAGGUACUAUUUCCCAUGGUAGUAAUAAAUGGGCUUCGCAAAGUAA